AAAACCUUUUUGUCAAAUUUUUUAAGGGACCAAUUCAGUUGUAGAAACUCGAAAAGAGAAUAAUGUUGCAAAAUGGAGUAACCAGAUUUGGAAGGGAAGAACAGAACCGAACCUGAAUCUGGAAGCUUUUGGAUUUACAAGUAUGAAACACUGGUAUCUUCUGACCCAACGACGAUAGGCUCUGAUCACUUAUUGGGAAGAAGAAGUCAGUAAGUAUAGGGCUUUUGUUGGGAGAUUGGAGGUAACAGGUAGGAGGAGGAGAAGAAGGGAAGAAGCAUCCUAGUGAAUUAGCCAUUUCUGUUUUU
Brassica rapa (field mustard) is the source of this 305-nucleotide long non-coding RNA. RefSeq lists it as uncharacterized. Lineage: Eukaryota; Viridiplantae; Streptophyta; Magnoliopsida; Brassicales; Brassicaceae. The record is from RefSeq and is a predicted model, not a curated record.